RNAcentral lists this long non-coding RNA (2559 nucleotides) under Homo sapiens (human). Its description in RNAcentral is "PM20D1 antisense RNA 1". The record is from RNAcentral. Lineage: Eukaryota; Metazoa; Chordata; Mammalia; Primates; Hominidae.
AGGAGUGACGGGAACCGGGAGCCGGCUCCAUGCGCCUGGAGCGCGCGGGUCCCAGCGCCCAUCGGCCCGGGGUCCGAGGGGCCCGCUGCCCGGGCUCGCUGCGUGGUGCUACCGCCCCCGGGCCCGCUGCGCCGCGUCGGAGCCCCAGCAGACUUUGAGAGGCGUGUGCGACAGUGCGCGUCCUCUCCUGCCUCUGGAUGUUUCCUUGGAGCCUCUGGCCUUCGGGAAGACCGGUGCCAUCCAGAUUCCAACAGUGACUUUUAGCUCUGAGAAGUCCAAUACUACAGCCCUGGCUGAGUUCGGAAAAUACAUUCAUAAAGCCUGAUGGCCUGGUGUUGGGCCUGAUCACCCCAAAAUUUCAGGCACCCAACGUGGGGCUAUGAAGACCAUGGUAAAGAAAUGCUAGAGUAUAUGGAAAUGAAGGACAUAUCAUCAAAGGACACCCGAGGAUGGCUGAAAGAAGCUUGGUGGGUAAGCUGGGCACUCUGAAGAACCAAGUGCCACUGGGUUAGAGUCUCCCCGACCAAGCUGGUCUCAGCAAGUGGUCUCCAUCAUGGGGGCUCGAAUCCAGGUUGAAGGGUCACCAGAGUGAUGGUUGGAGAACAUGGAACUAGCUGGAGGACACCUGAGUACUCUUAAAGCAAACCCCGUGUUAAUUGAAAAUGCUCAGUUACGAUUUCAUACAGAUGAACAACUGAAGACAAAAACAACAAAGGGGGAGAAAGAGGGAUUAUGGGACAGCCCAUAUACAAUUGAAUCUAGCAUUAUUAACUUUAAAUUUUUUGAGUCUGCCUAAAGGCCAGAUGUUAUCAGCAGCUGAACAGCAUUUACAGAAACCGGCUGCAAAGACAGAAGCAGAACAACUGGUUUGGUGGAGAGAUCCGAUAACAAAAAGUUGGGAAAUAGGUAAAAUAAUAACUUGGGGUAGAGGUUAUGUUUGUGUUUCUCCAGGCCAAAAUCAAUAACCAAUUUGGAUACCAUCAAGACACCUGAAACCUUAUCAUGAGCCAGAUGCUGAGGAAGAGAUUCCAGGAGGAUCCUGAGGACCCCCUGGUUGCAGCCACGUCGAGGCUGACACUGAGGAGGACCCCAACUGUCAUGAGCAACACCCGUCGAACACAGCCAUCCACCUGGGGACAAAUCAAGAAGCUGUCACAGAUGAUGGAAGAAAACCUGAGGAAAGCGGGACAACCAAUCACAAUGAGUAAUUUGGUGAUCUAUCACAGUGAUGAUCACCAUUGCCAUGAGUAUUCCUUCAACAAGGGCUGACACAGAGAACAAUUAUACUUAUUGGGCAUAUUUAUCAAUCUUGUCUGGCAAUAAUGCCUAGAUGAUUUCACUCUAUGGCACAGUUACACAUGCUUUCUGAUCUCAGUAUUUACCAUAAUAAAUCUGCUCCUAUAAUUGAGGCAUACCACCCUCAAAAACCUAUUUGUAAACAAAAUAGAACCUGGCCAGAAAUAAUGAACAACUUGUUUAGUAAGAUUGCAUUGCAGAACAGGCAGAGAUGCUACGCAAUGAUUCCUAUGGGAUCAUUGAUUGGUCCCCUAAGGGGAUGUUUAGCUUAAAUUGCACCUCUCAGUCUGCAUGCCAUGGCCACACUAGUUCAGAUGGUCUGAACAAAGUGGUCAGAUGGCAGAAAUGAUAAGAAGUAUGGCAAAAGUUCCUAUUGUCUGGAACCAUGGCAGUAUAGUGUCACCUCAACCUCAAAUGAUAUGGCUCAUUGUAGGAGCUAAACAUAAGGAUUUGUGGAAACUAUUAAUAGCUCUUAAUAAGAUCAAAAUUUGGGAAAGAAUAAAAAAAGCAUCUAGAAAGACACUCUACAAACUUGUCUUUGGAUAUUACAAAAUUAAAAGAACAAAUAUUUAAAGCAUCCCAGGUACACCUGACCUUAAUGACAGAAACUGGAGUGCUUGAAGGAGCUGCAGACAGAUUAGCAGCUAGUAACCCAUUAAAAUGGAUAAAAACACUUGGAAGCUCUGUGAUUUCAAUGAUGAUUGUGCUUUUAAUCGGUAUUGUUUGUCUUUGUAUAGUGUGCAGAUGUGGAUCCUGACUCCUGUGAGAAGUAGCUCACAGUGUCAAAGCUGCCUUUGCUUUUAUCGAUUUGCAAAUCAAAUAAGGGGGACAUAUUGGGAACAGCACCCCCCCCCCCAAAAUCUGGCCAUAAACUGGUCCCAAAACUGGCCAUAAACAAAAUCUCUGCAGCACUGACAUGUUCAUGAUGGUCUUAAUGCCCACGCUGGAAGGUUGUGGGUUUACCAGAAUGAGAGCAAGGAACACCUGGCCCACCCAGGGUGGAAAACCACUUAAAGGCAUUCUUAAACCACAAACAAUAGCAUGAGUGAUCUGUGCCUUAAGGCUGUGCUACUGCUGCAGAUAACUAGCCCAACCCAUCCCUUUAUUUCAGCCCAUCCCUUCGUUUCCCAUAAGGGAUACUUUUAAUUAAUCUAAUAUGUAUAGAAAGAAUGCUAAUGACUGGCUUGCUGUUAAUAAAUAACGUGGGUAAAUCUCUGUUGGAGGCUCUCAGCUCUGAAGGCUGUGAGACCCCGGAUUUCCCAC